RNAcentral lists this ribosomal RNA (308 nucleotides) under uncultured eukaryote. Its description in RNAcentral is "partial 18S ribosomal RNA". It matches the Rfam family "Eukaryotic small subunit ribosomal RNA", at positions 1470 to 1796 of the family's 1831-position model. The record is from RNAcentral.
CCCUUAGAUGUUCUGGGCUGCACGCGCGCUACACUGACGAAGGCAACGAGCUUUCCUUUACCGAAAGGUACGGGUAAUCUUUUGAAACUUCGUCGUGCUGGGGAUAGAUCCUUGCAAUUUUUGAUCUUAAACGAGGAAUGCCUAGUAAGCGCAAGUCAUCAACUUGCGUUGAUUACGUCCCUGCCCUUUGUACACACCGCCCGUCGCUACUACCGAUUGAAUGGUUUAGUGAGGCCUUCGGAUCCGCGACUCGUUUUGUGGAGAAGUUGGACAAACUCAGUCAUUUAGAGGAAGUAAAAGUCGUAACA